Molecule: transfer RNA, 71 nt
Filed under: Ovis aries (sheep)
Lineage: Eukaryota; Metazoa; Chordata; Mammalia; Artiodactyla; Bovidae
Rfam family: tRNA
About the family: Transfer RNA (tRNA) molecules are approximately 80 nucleotides in length. Their secondary structure includes four short double-helical elements and three loops (D, anti-codon, and T loops).
Source: Rfam by way of RNAcentral
UUCUGAUGGCUCAGAAGUUAAAGCGUCUGCCUGCAAUGCAGGAGACCUGGGUUCAAUCCCUGGGUCGGGAA